RNAcentral lists this transfer RNA (86 nucleotides) under Actinomadura fibrosa. Its description in RNAcentral is "tRNA-Tyr". It matches the Rfam family "tRNA". Rfam says of the family: Transfer RNA (tRNA) molecules are approximately 80 nucleotides in length. Their secondary structure includes four short double-helical elements and three loops (D, anti-codon, and T loops). Lineage: Bacteria; Bacillati; Actinomycetota; Actinomycetes; Streptosporangiales; Thermomonosporaceae. RNAcentral also lists the same sequence under 5 other names. The record is from RNAcentral.
GGGGAGAUACUCAAGCGGCCAACGAGGACAGACUGUAAAUCUGUUGUUUUUUAACUUCGCAGGUUCGAAUCCUGCUCUCCCCACCA